This 430-nucleotide ribosomal RNA is filed under the name uncultured Gammaproteobacteria bacterium. RNAcentral describes it as "bacterial SSU rRNA". It matches the Rfam family "Bacterial small subunit ribosomal RNA", at positions 355 to 776 of the family's 1533-position model. Lineage: Bacteria; Pseudomonadati; Pseudomonadota; Gammaproteobacteria. The record is from RNAcentral.
UGGGGAAUAUUGGACAAUGGGCGAAAGCCUGAUCCAGCAAUGCCGCGUGUGUGAAGAAGGCCUGCGGGUUGUAAAGCACUUUUAUCGGGAAAGAAACAGCCUGGGGCGAAUACCCCCAGGCCUUGACGGUACCCGAUGAAUAAGCACCGGCUAACUCCGUGCCAGCAGCCGCGGUAAUACGGAGGGUGCGAGCGUUAAUCGGAAUUACUGGGCGUAAAGCGAGUGUAGGCGGUUGCAUAAGUCGGAUGUGAAAGCCCCGGGCUUAACCUGGGAAUGGCAUUCGAUACUGUGCGGCUAGAGUCUGAUAGAGGGAAGUGGAAUUCCAGGUGUAGCGGUGAAAUGCGUAGAUAUCUGGAAGAACACCAGUGGCGAAGGCGGCUUCCUGGAUCAAGACUGACGCUGAGGCUCGAAAGCGUGGGGAGCAAACAGG